AUUGAACGCUGGCGGCAGGCCUAACACAUGCAAGUCGAACGAGUGGCGGAAGGGUGAGUAAUGUCUGGGAAACUGCCUGAUGGAGGGGGAUAACUACUGGAAACGGUAGCUAAUACCGCAUACCAUCGGAUGUGCCCAGAUGGGCUUAGCGAGUAGGGGGGGUAACGGCUCACCUAGGCGACGAUACCUAGCUGGUCUGAGAGGAUGACCAUCCACGCUGGAAGUGAGACACGGUACAGAUGCCUCCGGUAGGCGGCAUUGGGGAAUAUUGGACAAUGGGCGCAAGCUUGAUGCAGCCAUGCCGCGUGUAUUAAGAUGGCCUUCGGGUUGUAAAGUACUUCCAGCCGGGAGGCGUUACCCGCAGAAGAAGAACCCGCUAACACCGUGGUAGCAGCCGCGGUAAUUC
This 406-nucleotide ribosomal RNA is filed under the name uncultured bacterium. RNAcentral describes it as "partial 16S ribosomal RNA". It matches the Rfam family "Bacterial small subunit ribosomal RNA", at positions 30 to 526 of the family's 1533-position model. The record is from RNAcentral.